GCCAGGGGCAGUGGUGCACACCUGUAAUCCCAGUGGCUCAGGAGGCUGAGGCAGGAGGAUCACAGGUUCAAAGCUAGCCUCAGCAAAAGCGAGGUGCUAAGCAACUCAGUGAGACCCUGUAUCUA
Molecule: small RNA, 125 nt
Filed under: Marmota monax (woodchuck)
Lineage: Eukaryota; Metazoa; Chordata; Mammalia; Rodentia; Sciuridae
Source: RNAcentral